GGAGGGUUGCCCGAGUCCGGUAAGGGACGCGCCCGCUAAGCGCAGGUCGGGUUCUGCCCGCGGAGGUUCGAAUCCUCCACCCUCCG
This 86-nucleotide transfer RNA is filed under the name Pseudofrankia coriaricola. Its description in RNAcentral is "tRNA-Ser". It matches the Rfam family "tRNA". From Rfam's summary of the family: Transfer RNA (tRNA) molecules are approximately 80 nucleotides in length. Their secondary structure includes four short double-helical elements and three loops (D, anti-codon, and T loops). The record is from RNAcentral. Lineage: Bacteria; Bacillati; Actinomycetota; Actinomycetes; Frankiales; Frankiaceae.